AGGACUUUGCAAAGUUUUUUUUAAAGAUAUUUAUUAUCAAUUUUGGAUUCUUUUUCCAUUUAUUUUCUGGUAUUUUUAUAUAAUUGUGAAAAUAAAACGAUGGGUUGGAUUAUCCCUGUUUACCAUCAUAUCAUGGACUUGUCCAUAAUUUGAAAUCUAGGAAAUAUGGGUCAGCAGAAGCUUAGACAGUGGAAAUAAAGCAAAUAACAAAGGAUUUUAUUGAUAGUUAAAAAUUGUGGUGAUAAAAUAUAAGCAAUUUUUGAGAUAAUAUUUUGUUUAAAGUGUAAGGAUUGAAUAUUUUUGAAUUUUUCAAAGAAAAAAAAUAAGACUUAGCCUUGUGAAUGAAAAUGACAAUAAUCUGGAUAUGCUCAGUUGUAAAUGAAUUUUGAAUGCUACAUUAUGACCUUGGAUAAGAAGAUAAAUACCAAUAUCAUAAAAAUUCAGGAUAUGUCUCAAGCUGGUGUAAAAAGAAUGGGAGGGGAGGAGUCACGGACAAGGAUAUUAACGAUACCAUAAGUUAAAGCAGAUCAGUUAUGCUUGGAUUAAAAAUGAAAACAACUGCCUGAACAAAAAACAUUUACAGUGAAAUAAAAUGAAAUAAUUUGCCAUGGAUUAAAACAAUACAAUAGCAGUGCAAUAAAAAAUAUAACUCGUG
Ruditapes philippinarum (Manila clam) is the source of this 655-nucleotide long non-coding RNA. RefSeq lists it as uncharacterized. The transcript is spliced from 2 exons. The record is from RefSeq and is a predicted model, not a curated record. Lineage: Eukaryota; Metazoa; Mollusca; Bivalvia; Venerida; Veneridae.